AAUCAACGCUGGCGGCGUGCCUAACACAUGCAAGUCGCACGAGAAAGGGGAGCAAUCCCUGAGUACAGUGGCGCACGGGUGAGUAACACGUGAAUUAUCUACCUCCGAGUGGGGAAUAACUGAGAGAAAUCUUAGCUAAUACCGCAUAACACUUACGAGUCAAAGCAGCAAUGCGCUUGGAGAGGAGUUCGCGGCAGAUUAGUUAGUUGGCGGGGUAAGGCCCACCAAGACGAUGAUCUGUAUCCGGCCUGAGAGGGCGCACGGACACACUGGAACUGAAACACGGUCCAGACUCCUACGGGAGGCAGCAGUGGGGAAUUUUGCGCGAAUGGGGGAAACCCUGACGCAGCAACGCCGCGUGGAGGAUGAAGGUCUUUGGA
RNAcentral lists this ribosomal RNA (380 nucleotides) under uncultured bacterium. RNAcentral describes it as "bacterial SSU rRNA". It matches the Rfam family "Bacterial small subunit ribosomal RNA", at positions 32 to 422 of the family's 1533-position model. The record is from RNAcentral.